CGACUUGGCUCACACACUUGGACUUCCCGAUACAUUGUGCGAUUUGGUUGCUGUCGUAUAAUCCUAGAACCUUAGAAUUAAUAAAGUCUAGAACUGACGGACCGGCGUUUGAAGUACCUUUAUUGAUUUGAUAUUAGGUCUACAUAAUAUGACAAUGAGGUGUAUGUCAUGCAAUAUUAAAUUGGAGGAGGAGACACAGUACUAUAAUGUAGGCGAUAUUGGCGCUCAACUUAUUGCACUUAUAGCAAGAACUCUCAACUGUGAGAUUGACCUCCAGGCCUACUUAUGCGAAGAAUGUUUUACUUCUUUUACACAAAAACUAUAUUCAGAAGCAAGAUCUCAUUCAAAUAAGCACGAUUCAAUAAUUCAUUGCGUUUGGUGCAAGAAAUCAAUUAAUGGCCGUCGCUCUCAUUCUUUACCAAAUGGACCGGAGAGAAGACAAAUAGCUCUUCGUAUAUUACCUAUACAAGUAAGUGAUGCAUGUAAUUUUGUUAACAUAUUUAUACAGGGUGUUAGGUAAAUGUGUAUAUGAGCCGACGCUAGCCCAUGUUAACAUGGGCAUAUAAAUGGUAUGGUGA
Long non-coding RNA from Ostrinia nubilalis (European corn borer), 578 nucleotides. RefSeq lists it as uncharacterized. The record is from RefSeq and is a predicted model, not a curated record. The transcript is spliced from 3 exons. Lineage: Eukaryota; Metazoa; Arthropoda; Insecta; Lepidoptera; Crambidae.